Molecule: ribosomal RNA, 323 nt
Filed under: uncultured eukaryote
Lineage: Eukaryota
Description: partial 18S ribosomal RNA
Rfam family: Eukaryotic small subunit ribosomal RNA
Source: RNAcentral
CCCCUAGACGUUCUGGGCUGCACGCGCGCUACAAUAAUACGCACAGCGAGUAUCACCGAGCUCGAAAGGGCAAGGUAAACAAUAGAAAAGGUACUGUAAUGGUUAUAGAUCCUUGUAAUUAUUGAUCUUCAACGAGGAAUUCCUAGUAAGUAUGUGUCAUCAUCACGCACUGAUUACGUCCCUGCCCUUUGUACACACCGCCCGUCGCUCCUACCGAUUGAAUGCUCAGGUGAGCCAUUCGGACCUUCAUCAUGCCGGUUUCCGGUUUUGAUGAGGGAAAGUCUUGCGAACCUUAUCAUUUAGAGGAAGGAGAAGUCGUAACA